Molecule: ribosomal RNA, 500 nt
Filed under: uncultured bacterium
Lineage: Bacteria
Description: partial 16S ribosomal RNA
Rfam family: Bacterial small subunit ribosomal RNA
Source: RNAcentral
AUUGAACGCUGGCGGAAUGCUUUACACAUGCAAGCCGAACGGCAGCACGGACUUCGGUCUGGUGGCGAGUGGCGAACGGGUGAGUAAUGUAUCGGAACGUGCCCAGUCGUGGGGGAUAACGUAGUGAAAAUUACGCUAAUACCGCAUACGAUCGAUGGAUGAAAGCGGGGGAUCGCAAGACCUCGCGCGAUUGGAGCGGCCGAUAUCAGAUUAGGUAGUUGAUGGGGUAAAGGCCCACCAAGCCAACGAUCUGUAGCUGGUCUGAGAGGACGACCAGCCACACUGGAACUGAGACACGGUCCAGACUCCUACGGGAGGCAGCAGUGGGGAAUUUUGGACAAUGGGCGAAAGCCUGAUCCAGCCAUUCCGCGUGCAGGAUGAAGGCCCUCGGGUUGUAAACUGCUUUUGUACAGAACGAAAAGGUUUCUACUAAUACUAGGAGCUCAUGACGGUACUGUAAGAAUAAGCACCGGCUAACUACGUGCCAGCCGCCGCAGUAA